UGGGGAAUCUUGGACAAUGGGGGAAACCCUGAUCCAGCGACGCCGCGUGGGUGAUGAAGGCCUUCGGGUCGUAAAGCCCUGUCGGGAGGGACGAAACUCUUGCCGGUAAAUAAUCGGCGAGAUUGACGGUACCUCUAAAGGAAGCACCGGCUAACUCUGUGCCAGCAGCCGCGGUAAGACAGAGGGUGCUAGCGUUGUUCGGAAUUACUGGGCGUAAAGGGCGCGUAGGCGGUCUGUUAAGUUCGGUGUGAAAUCCCCUGGCUCAACUGGGGAACUGCGCUGGAAACUGGCAGACUCGAGUACCGGAGAGGAGAGUGGAAUUCCUGGUGUAGCGGUGAAAUGCGUAGAUAUCAGGAGGAACACCGGUGGCGAAGGCGGCUCUCUGGACGGAUACUGACGCUGAGGCGCGAAAGCGUGGGGAUCAAACAG
This 429-nucleotide ribosomal RNA is filed under the name uncultured bacterium. RNAcentral describes it as "bacterial SSU rRNA". It matches the Rfam family "Bacterial small subunit ribosomal RNA", at positions 355 to 775 of the family's 1533-position model. The record is from RNAcentral.